Molecule: antisense RNA, 75 nt
Filed under: Streptomyces scopuliridis RB72
Lineage: Bacteria; Bacillati; Actinomycetota; Actinomycetes; Kitasatosporales; Streptomycetaceae
Description: ASpks TB sRNA
Rfam family: ASpks TB sRNA
Source: Rfam by way of RNAcentral
CUUCACGGAGCCCAGCAGCAGCGGCAGGUCCUGGUCGCGGUCCUGGCCGUAGGUGGCCAGCAGCGCCUGGGCCUC